This is a long non-coding RNA of Mustela erminea (ermine), 6767 nucleotides long. RefSeq lists it as uncharacterized. The record is from RefSeq and is a predicted model, not a curated record. The transcript is spliced from 4 exons. Lineage: Eukaryota; Metazoa; Chordata; Mammalia; Carnivora; Mustelidae.
GUGAAGAAAACAGACCAACACCCUGUCCUCAUAAACUUACUUUCUCCUGGGAAAGGACUAAGCUCACAGGAACACAGAAGAAAGGAGACAACAGCAGCUGCACAUGGUCUAAUGUUGGGAGGAUAAAAUGGCGUGCUAUGGAAAUACAUUCAUCAUUUUGUCUCCAGCAGCCUGGAAUCUGCUUUAGAGAAAACGCUCCCCAAGUGGUUAUUGAAUGAAUGAGUGAUGACCACCCCACCCCUCAUCCCCGCCGUGGUUUGUUUUCAAAUACUCUCUCUGUUGAGAAAACGACCCAGACCAGAAGUGGCUAAGAAGAUUCCAUGCCUAAAUGGAACAAGGCACCGUAGACAGGCACCUGGAACAGAAAAAGGACGUCAAUGAACAACUGAAGACAUCCAGACAGGUAUGGAGGUUAGUGACUAGUAAGGAAUGUACCAGUGUACUCAUUGGUUUGACAAAUAUCUCCUAGGAUGUUAGCGAUAAGGGCAGCUAGGAGAUGGUAUAAGAAAAUUCUCUAUGCAACAUUUGCAAACUUUCUGCAAGUCUGAACCUAUUCUCAGAAAGAAAGCUUAUUUCAAUAAAUUGAAAACAAUUCCCUCUGCAGGCAGCAUGGAGGGUGGAGUUGAAUGGGGUAUCCCCAUGGUCAUGGUUGUGAAGACCUGAGCUCUGCAGGUGGCACAGGACAGUGGCGGGGGGGGGGGGGCAGGGCUGGAUAACUGGCUGGAUGUGGGAACUGAGCUGGGGACUUGGGUCAGAGGUGAUAAUCCAGCCCUGAGCUCAGGGCCAGGCCUGGAGGAGGCCUAAGAAAGAGGGUAGGUUGCAAUCGACCGAUCUGGGCAGCGGGGACAAGGGGAGCCCCCAGCCCCCCACCACUCUGAGCAUCGCACCACUCGGAUCAUGACGGCGUGUCCUGGGUACCCAGACUCUUUGCAACACUGCUUCCCAAACUGCUGGUGGAAAAGGAUCAGGCUUUUGUUUUUUGGUUUUAAAAAUAUACAUCCAGUCCAGUGAAGAUCAGUAUUUUGAUCUGCACCCUGUUCAGGGAAGCAAGUCCAUCAUGUGCUUGGCUGUCAGGCAGUUUCAAAGCACUCUACACGUUUCCGAACGCUUCCCCUCCGUGUGCUAUUUUUACUUCAUCAGUGCAAACACAGCUUGUGGGCUGUACUGUCCACUUUCACCCUCAUGACCACCCAAGCGUUAGGAUCUAUGAUUCUCACUGUACAGAUGAGAAAACUGAGACUCAAAGAGAUUUAUUGCCAUCCGAGGUCACGCGGAACUAGUAAAUUGCAGUGAGAGGAGAUUUCAUCUGUCCCCACUCAGGUCAUACAACCCCGUCAGGCAGUCCUGUGGCUUGACCUCUUCUCGUGCCCUUCAGAUUGUUUUCAGUGCUCUUCAUGCCUUUUCCCUGGAGGCCGAAUCAUGUGUUACUUUGACUCAAGAAAAGAAGGAUGUAGCGGGGAGCGCCUUUGCCAGAGGUGACCUCACAGCCCAUGUCCCCAGGGCGCAGCGGCAGGAGUAUGCAAAGAGCUCAGAGCCAGGGGGACCUUGCCAAAGUGGCCGGGAGCACUGACCCUGACCCAGGCAUCAUUCCUCGGGCUCUGCUGCUAACACAGGCUGGGAAGGGAAGGAGGACGGUCCCAGGGCAUCCUGCCCAAAGACAAUCCCCUUCAUGACCCCAAGUGGUACUUAGCAGCAGCUGCUACAACAACAGAACAUUGGAGCACCUGCCAGGCAAAGGGUGAAGUGUGAAGACAUUCAUUUGUGUUUACUUUUGCUCUGUGGAAAGAUCGAGAGGAUGCAGUCUUGGGUUUUUUUUUUUCCUUUACUGUAUCCAGUUCUUUCCCACUCUGAGACCGAGGCUGGGCUUUUGGGCUUUCUCUCCUUGGGGAUAUUUGCAGAGACAAUAGAGAAUGGAUUUGGAACAUUCUCCUUUCCAGGCUUCUGAGAAAGCCUGCACUCACAAGGAGCUGGUGCCAGAAAAGGGGGCAGGCAGUGCUCCUGGGGCAGGUGAGGUGUCAACAGACAGUGAGAGACUCCAAGUUCUCUGGAGAAGGGCUGGAAGCCAGAGGGUUUGUGGGCAGGGGAAGCUGAGGUCCAAUUCCUGGGGCAGUGACUGAUUUGUGGGCUUAGGGAGAUUCAUUCAUUCAUCAAAUAUUCACCAAAAACCUACCUGCACAUGCACCUGUCUAGGUUCUGGGCACGUACCCAUCUGGGUUCUCAUGCAAAUAAGACAGACUUCAGGAAAAUGACAAUACACUCAUUUAAUAGAGUAGGAGUCUCUCCUCCAGUCCCUGGCUGUGAUCAUCCUCCAGCUGCCGUUUGCUCAUCCUGUCCCACAGCAGGACACUCUUGCCCAAAACUCCGAUAUUCUGUGGCUCUGUCUCAGCAAAGGAUAAUAGUGCAUGUUCCUUGCCAGAGCACGCCAAGCCAUUAGAAUGGAAUAAACUGGACCAGCGUGUGACCCCCCGCUUGCACACACCCUUGGUACCUACGCCUCACCUUGUAUAUCUGGGCUCACUCAGCCCAGCACAUCCUUCCCAUGUGUUUUGGGCUCUGGCAACACACAGACCUUCCUUACAAUUCACUUGCAAGUCUCUGCUCCCAUCCUUAUUCUGUUUCCUCUGCCCCAAGUGGUGUUCAGAUUUCCCGUUCCUCAUCAUAUUACAAACCUAGCCUGAGACCCGGCUCCCAUGUCACCUCCACUGGGAAGCCUUCUCUGAUUUCCCUGGUCAGGGUGAAUGCUUACUACUCCCAGUUCCCAGCCAGCCUGACUCACAGUACUCACUAUACCUUCCUCACUUCCCAGCCAACACUGUGUUUCUUCUGCACAGCACACGGCUCUCCACCACUCUCCGGCUGGUCCAUGCUGCAGUGCGUCGACCACAGAUGCUGUCCUCGAGCCUGCGCAGCCCCUUUGUGCUUGUUAUCACCUGGAUAACAGGUGUACAAAGGCUCAGCGAGCACGCAGUUCAGACGCGAGCAGGAGCACACAGGCUCCGAAGGGGAUGGCUAGGGGAGAGCCUCAGGUUAUGCGGUUCAUUCAACUGGCUGGAGGAACAUCCCUUGUUUUGAAGGUUAGGGGCUGAAUUACUCAUAAGUUCAUGGGAAGCAAACAAACGAAAGGGGAAAAGCAAUUACUGACUCCUAAAAAGGACAAAAGCUAUUUGAAAGAAAACGUAAUCAUGGUACACUCUGUGUAUUAUUUAUAUAAUCGUAAUCAUGUCAGUACUGAACAGAGAUUUAAGUAAACAUGGUGAUAACAACUAUAUUGAAUGGACAAGAGUUUGAGAAAUGUGUGUGUCUGUGACUGCAUGCGUGAGUGUGAACAGACGUGUGUGUGUCAGAGCCGGGAGGCAGGACUAAGAGAGCGGAGUUGUCAUUUUGUUAGUAGCUAAUGUCCACAAAGGAAAAAUCAAGAAUUGGAAUUGUAAGUCUGUUAUAUAGAAAUAGGAAGGGAAGGACGCCUGUGUGGCUCAGUCAUUAAGCGUCUGCCUUUGGCUCAGGUCAUGAUCCCAGGGUCCUGGAAUUGAGCCCCGCCUUGGACUCCCUGUUCUACAGGGCGUCUGCCUAUCCCUCACCAACUCCCCCUGCUUGUGUUCGUUCUCUGUCUCUCUCUGUCUCUGUGUCAAAUAAAUAAAUAAAUAAUCUUUUUUAAAAAAUAGGAAGGUACAAGCACCCCAGAAAAUGGUUGCCCUAUUUCCAAAAUCAAGGUGCUGCUGUUUUUUCUAUAAAUUUGUUUUUGCUGGAACUAUUUGACUUUGAAAACCUAGGCACAUACGUUGCUCCGGUUAGAAUUCAGAUUUCAAUUAAACAGUUUAAAUGCAGGUGAAAGACGAGUUGACUGCUACCACUCACCCAGACAUCUGUCCCCAUCACCCUGGGGAAGUAGCGGUGGAAGUGGGGUGCGGUCUGCAGAGAGUGAGCCUUUGGCCUUUAGCCCUCAGGGCAGCGGGCUCCAUAGGGAGCGGUGUGGGGGGAUUCUGCUGGGACCCAGCUGCUGUGUCUGGUUCUGUUUUCUUGCCAUGCCUCAGAAGCAUGGGGUAAACCUCCCCUCAUUAGCUGGGGUGUCUCCUGUUGGGUGGGGCUCAGGGCAGGAGCCAUUAGGUGGAAGGGUGUUUCGGGAAACACUUGCAAACUGGGGACAAGGGUGUUUGUUUUUCCUCUGAGACCCAGACACUUCUGGUAACCAUUGUUCCCAAGUGUGGUUUUUUGAAAACUUAUUCUUUUCAAAUUCCACGGGCAGCCCAGACUGAUUCGUCCGUCUAGGAAUUUGAGGAGCCAAGAGCAGAAAUAACAUUUUAUGAGAGAAGGGGGAUCAAAGGCAGCGCGCUUUCUGCAGAACCCACUCAGGUCUUGCACUUUGGGGAUCACACCUCAUUAUGGUCCCCAGCUGCUCCAGGUUGGUUUUUAACAAGUUGCCUUCCUGUGUGCUUUGGCUUUUGUUCAGCAUUUUCCAAGCAAACUGCUGUGUCUCCUGGUGCUGGGACAAGUUCCCAGUGACCCCAAAGAGGGAUCCCAUAUGAGGGAUCUUGUACUUUGUCUGACAGUAUACCUAGAUUUCCCUUUUGGAUGUUCUUUUCCCCCUUAAAACAAUACCUUUGACUUCUCUAAUGCUUUGUGGAGCUAAGGUGCUCAGCACCUUAGCUGAUCUAUGUUCUAUCAACAUGGGACGAGCAAGGAUUAUUGUUUCCAUUUUAUAGGUGGGGAAACUGAGGCCCAAAUCAGUGAAGAGACUUGCCCAGAUCACACAGCUAACAUGGCAGAGUUGGGAGUUGAACCCGGGGUCUCCUGAGGUCUCUGCCAGGACUUUGCCCGAUGCCGGGCACCUGCAAACUUGCCGGCCCCCAGCUCCAGUGGGGCUGACCGUGCACCCUCCCCAAGGCCCAGUGCGGGGGCUGGCUCACCUGCCGGCCUGUAUCAGAUGCAGCUGGGUCUCCAGACCUCUCCAGUUCCUGUCUCCUCCCCAACCACAGCCUCUUUAGCCUAGGGCCUGGAUUUCAGCUGUGACCACCAGCCGGACAGUCUGAAGCUAACUGCCUCUAGAAGGUGAAUGAAUGCCACUCAGCACCUCCCAGGUCAGAGAAGACUGCAUCAGGAUUUGAUGGUAGGUGGCAAUCCCAGCUCUGUCACUGGACGGCCGUGGCCUCGGGUAACGUUUAAGGCAUCCUGGGCCUCAGUGUCCUCAUCUCUAAGACAGGGGCAGUAAUUCUUAUCUCAGUAGGAACUGACAGACCAGACAACUAAAAUAACGUACCAGCUGCACAAAGGAAAAGGAUGAUUAAUACCAGGUGUAAUAGUAACAACCGUAGGUGCCACACCUUUUCUAGGAGGGAUCCAGCCUCUCCCUCUCCACAGAGGGAAUAGGAACCCUCACAGCCACUAUUUGACUUGUCCAAGCUCACACGGUGAGUUAGCAGAAGUUGCAGGUCUGCACCUUAGUUCCGUUGUACCCCAACUUCAAUAUUCUUUCAGUGGUCAGAAGUCAAAUAUUUUCCUCCCCGCGUAAAUACCCGUCUUGUGCCUGUGUCGGCUCACGUGGUUCAGUUCUCAGAGAGUCGGUGGCUCAGAAAGUCUUUCAUCAAAAAUGGCCCUAUGAGGGGCGCCCAGGUGGCUCAGUCAGUUAAGCGUCCGACUCCUGAUUUCAGCUCAGCUGCAGAUCUCAGGGUAACGAGAUCGACCCCCACAUGGGGCUCUGUGCUCAAUGGCGAUUCUCCUCGAGAUUUCCACUUCCUCUCCCUCUGCUCCUCCCUCUGCUCUCUCUCAAAUAAAUAAAUAACUCUUUAAAAAAAAAAAAAAAACCUGUCAACGUAUGUUAGGAUGCUUUUGAUGGCAAGUAACAAUUCAUAACUAAAACAUGAGGGAAAUACGUGAGAUCCUGCGGCCAGCAGUCCAGACCCCAGAGCUGGUGAGUUUGGGCUCAGUGACAGGGCCAGCAAUUGGCAGGAUGGCUGAGACAUUUUCGGGGGCUUCACAGGUAGGAUAGAGCUCACGGAAGAAGGGAGGGUGUUUCCUCACUGGUUUCGUUGCUUAUUAGUGAGGAAGAUGUUCCAGAAGCAACCCCUGUGACGAAGCAGCAUUCCCCUUGUAUCUCAUUGGCCAAAGUGGCAUCACAGGCCAGGACUAAGCCCAUCACUGACAAAAAAUAGGGAAUUGCCAAGACUGACUCAGGCUAAUCAGCAUCCGCCCUUGGGUGUCACCUUCCAGAACACAUGGGCAGGUGAGCCCCUAAGCAAAAUCAGGGUUCUGGCAAGGACCUAGAGCUGAGCUGGGCAGGACUUUCUGCAAUAGUGUAAGUGUUCUGCGUCCGUGCUGUCUAAUACGACGUAACGUGCCUACCAUCUGGGGCUUGGCAGGUCUAGACGGUGUAUAUGAGUGUGUGGGUGGGCACGCGUGUGUGUCUGUCUGUUGGAUAGGUAGCCAAGAGUCUGCUGCAGAGUUAAUGAGCUUUCCCGGGAAUACUUAUAUUCUCUCUCCCCCCAAAUGGAAAGAGAGGCUCAUUGCAGGUCAUAAACUGGUGGGUAGAGGUGGAAGAGGAGAAGCCCCUAGCAGCCUCCCCAGGGGAGGACCCCAGAACCUCGGAGGAGGAGCCCCCACUGAGCAGCAUGGGCUUCCCCCCAUCGGGCCUGCCACCAGGACACUCCAGACAGAGGGCAGAGGUCCCGUGCCCUGCCCUCCUCAUGUGCUUUCCGGCUCCCCUCCAUUGUCCUCUCUGUUCUCCCUUCUGCCGCCCCCACCCCUCAUUCCAACCCUCCUUCUCCCUACUCCCC